This 76-nucleotide transfer RNA is filed under the name Pseudomonas sp. HMWF021. RNAcentral describes it as "tRNA-Val". It matches the Rfam family "tRNA". From Rfam's summary of the family: Transfer RNA (tRNA) molecules are approximately 80 nucleotides in length. Their secondary structure includes four short double-helical elements and three loops (D, anti-codon, and T loops). Further hydrogen bonds mediate the characteristic L-shaped molecular structure. tRNAs have two regions of fundamental functional importance: the anti-codon, which is responsible for specific mRNA codon recognition, and the 3' end, to which the tRNAs corresponding amino acid is attached (by aminoacyl-tRNA synthetases). tRNAs cope with the degeneracy of the genetic code in two manners: having more than one tRNA (with a specific anti-codon) for a particular amino acid; and 'wobble' base-pairing, i.e. permitting non-standard base-pairing at the 3rd anti-codon position. The record is from RNAcentral. Lineage: Bacteria; Pseudomonadati; Pseudomonadota; Gammaproteobacteria; Pseudomonadales; Pseudomonadaceae.
GGGUGAUUAGCUCAGCUGGGAGAGCGUCUGCCUUACAAGCAGAAUGUCGGCGGUUCGAUCCCGUCAUCGCCCACCA